This is a long non-coding RNA of Tachysurus vachellii, 1274 nucleotides long. RefSeq lists it as uncharacterized. The transcript has 2 exons. The record is from RefSeq and is a predicted model, not a curated record. NCBI's taxonomy places the organism in Eukaryota, Metazoa, Chordata, Actinopteri, Siluriformes, Bagridae.
AGCUGUUUGGCUAACAUUGCUGCUAGUGUCUGUGCAUUAUUUAAGUGUGUAUAUUUGUUUAUAGCCAGGUUAUGGUCGCGAUUGGGACGACGUUGCUGUUGGGUACAGGUUGUCCUUCCCUCCAGUUUGUGUGUGCUCUAGAUCACUUGCAUAUUUGCUGUUCGCCGCUUAUGGAUAAAGCUGUGAGUAACUGAGCCCGUGGGUUUAGCGAUCUACUUCCGGUGCAUCUGCUCGUGAGCCCUUCGUCACUGUGGACUGCAGGGCCAACGCUCUUUAGACAUCGUUAAGACUGCACUGUUUGUUCUGCUGCUACUUUUACGAUUGUGACUAUUUGCAUUUUAUUAUUACUUUCUGGUUUUGUUUGUUUUUCACGCUCAUUCUGGUGGGUUAGGUGAAGUGUGGCUAGUCCGAGUUGUCAUUUAAAGCGAGCUGUACCGUUCACGGUGCUUGCUUAGCGCCACCGGCUGUUAUAUUGCCACCAGCAGCGUGUUUGUUUUGUUUAUCUAUUUGGUUGUUUUUUUGUUGGAUCUGCGCUCUUCCUAAGGACGGCGUGGAAGGCUCGGGUAAUAUCUCGUACCUGGGAAGAUUUAGUUCCUAUUUGUUUUGUUUAAUGUUGAUUUGAGUCUUUUGGCUGAAAGCUCUUUUCAGAUUUAAGUUUUUGUUUUUUUGUAAUUUUGUUUUUUUUGUAUUUUAUGUGAUUUAAUUUGAAGCCUGUUGUCUUCAUUUGUAUUGUUGGUUUUAUUUCUUUUUUUCUUGGUUUUGUUCUUCUCCUUCACCUCUUGCUGCUCCAUGGCAUGUCUAGGUUCAUGAGCUUUUAGCAUGAACCUAGUUGAGUCUUUACAUCUCUCUGCCUGACCCUAGUGGCCAGUAAAUUGUCCAUUGUUCCCCUUUAUGGUUUGAACUUAUUCUAAUGCAAGUUGUUGGAUUGUACGCGAGUUGAAUUAAUUGUUAUUUUUCCUUUUCUUUUUUUGUUUAUUUCAGGAGCUGAAGGCCCCAGUGAGGGAAGCUAGCUGCCUUGGCCCUGUGGUGGUGGUGUUUCUCUCACAGAGUGUUUUGCUAUAUGAUAUCUGCGUCUCCCUCACUUAGAGUGGGUGUGGUGUGAGUGUGAGUGUUUUGAGUGGUGUGUCUUAGGAUACUCACUGUUCAGCUAGCUCCCUACUGGUAAGCCUCAGCUGCAAAGUUUCUUGUUUUUUUUACUACUUUUCGUUGUUUUGGUCGACAGUUUUCUAUAUUUUAACUAAUUAUUGUGCAAUAAAGUAUUUUUGUAUUUAUAU